Molecule: ribosomal RNA, 254 nt
Filed under: uncultured bacterium
Lineage: Bacteria
Description: partial 16S ribosomal RNA
Rfam family: Bacterial small subunit ribosomal RNA
Source: RNAcentral
CGGAGGAUCCAAGCGUUAUCCGGAUUUAUUGGGUUUAAAGGGUGCGUAGGCGGACCCUUAAGUCAGUGGUGAAAGUUCGCGGCUCAACCGUGAAAUUGCCAUUGAAACUGAGGGUCUUGAGUGUAAAUAAGGUAGGCGGAAUGUGUCGUGUAGCGGUGAAAUGCUUAGAUAUGACACAGAACACCGAUUGCGAAGGCAGCUUACUGGGAUACAACUGACGCUGAGGCACGAAAGCGUGGGGAUCAAACAGGAUU